This 287-nucleotide long non-coding RNA is filed under the name Vigna radiata. Its description in RNAcentral is "long non-coding RNA (VRAD_LNC014588)". The record is from RNAcentral. Lineage: Eukaryota; Viridiplantae; Streptophyta; Magnoliopsida; Fabales; Fabaceae.
ACUGAUUGCAAGAUUAACCCUCCCUUACUCUCUUUUUCUCUUUUCUUUCUUCUUUCCUUUUUACUCUCUUUUUCGGACACUCAGACACUUUUCACUCUAUCUUUUUCUCUCUGGGUACGCUCCUUUUUUUUUUGUUCUCCUUUUUCUCUCUAAACUCUCCCCUCUUUCCUUUUUUUUUCUCUCGAUAUUUGAUUCUUCCUCUCACUUUUUUUCCCUUUUUCUUUUUCUCUCACUCACUCCCCCUCCAGCGGAAGCAUUCCCAACCAAACCAUCGGCUCUGAUACCAU